This 1539-nucleotide unclassified non-coding RNA is filed under the name Hevea brasiliensis (rubber tree). Lineage: Eukaryota; Viridiplantae; Streptophyta; Magnoliopsida; Malpighiales; Euphorbiaceae. The record is from RNAcentral.
GGACAGUUCAGAAGCUAAGUGAGUUCUCUGCUACUGGAAAUGGCUUCUUUUUCCACCAGCUCUACUUAUUGUCUCAGCAAGAAUGUUGUGUUUUUAUCUGAUUUCUCUCCACUAAAUCAGUUUCCCACUCAAAGUCCCAGGAGAAGAUUUUCCAAGAAAAUUGUUUCUAUGAUCACACAACCAAGUUCAAGAAUGCCUGCCACCACUGGCUCAGUGAAGAGUUGGAUGACUAUGACUGAGAAGUUGCUGGCUAGGACUUCUGAGAAGCUUCAUGUGGUUCCAGGUGAGAAUUUGUGGGUCAAUGUCGAUGUUUUGAUGACAAAUGAUAUUACUGGGCCUGGUGCUAUUGGAGUAUUUAAAAGAGAAUUUGGAGAAAAUGCCAAGGUAUGCUAAAAUAGCCAUAUCGUUGAAUUUAGUUGAGUUUCAUCUUUGUAGUUAUAUAUGGUUAGAGAUUUAUGUCUGUAGGUUUUCCGGAGUUUUUGGUUUAUGAACAUUCACAAUUGACGAAAUUUCAUGUAUAAACAAGAGCAAGUUAGAGUUUGAUGCCUCCAAAGAUAUGAUUCAAUAUCUUACUCCUCAUUCUGACAACUUGAAAAGGGAUGCUUUCGUAUCUCUACUUAAAAUCAUUCAUAUCUUGAACUUUUCCUCUCUUGGUAACUUGAACUCCCAAGCUCAUGGUAUAAAGAGGGCAAGCAUUCGACUCGUGUGUAGUUGGGUUCUGUAUCACCUAGGGAAGUAGAAUUUGUGCAGUAACUUAACUAUACAAUAUACCCCGCGAUGAAGCAUCUGCACAGGAUCAGUGAUUCAUAGUUGAGGUACUGAGAAAAGUUGAUGCGGAGUACCAUGCUUAAAUUCUAAUCCAGUAAAAAAUUCACUUGAACAGACCUUGAUUUUCCUGUUGGGACACUUCUAUGGCUCUAAUAGUGCCGGGGAUUGUUUGUUUUCUUCAUAUCUUAGGUCUGGGAUCGUGAAAAGGUAGUUGUCAUACCCGAUCACUACAUUUUCACAGCUGAUGAACGAGCAAAUCGUAAUGUGGAUACACUGAGGGACUUCUGCAAUGAGCAAAAUAUUAAGUACUAUUAUGACAUUAAAGACCUCGGAAACUUCCAGGCUAAUCCAGAUUACAAAGGAGUGUGCCACAUUGCUCUUGCCCAAGAAGGUCACUGCAGACCAGGAGAGGUUUUGGUAGGUACAGACUCUCAUACAUGUACUGCAGGAGCAUUCGGUCAAUUUGCAUCUGGAAUCGGAAAUACUGAUGCUGGUUUUGUUCUGGGUACUGGAAAGAUUUUGCUCAAGGUUCCUCCAACUAUCAGAUUUGUAUUGGAUGGUGAAAUUCCGAAUUACAUACUAGCUAAGGAUUUGAUUUUGCAAGUUAUUGGUGAAAUUUCUGUAGCUGGUGCAACAUACAAAACAAUGGAAUUUGUCGGUACUGCUGUUGAAAGUUUAACAAUGGAAGAGAGAAUGACAUUAUGCAAUAUGGUUAUCGAAGCUGGUGGAAAGAAUGGUGUUAUUCCUGCUGAUAAAACAACAUAUGACUAC